CCCAGACAACUAGGAUGUUGGCUUAGAAGCAGCCAUCAUUUAAAGAGUGCGUAAUAGCUCACUAGUCGAGUGACACUGCGCCGAAAAUGUACCGGGGCUAAACAUAUUACCGAAGCUGUGGAUUGUCCAUUGGACAAUGGUAGGAGAGCGUUCUAAGGGCGUUGAAGCAUGAUCGCAAGGACAUGUGGAGCGCUUAGAAGUGAGAAUGCCGGUGUGAGUAGCGAAAGACGGGUGAGAAUCCCGUCCACCGAUUGAC
RNAcentral lists this ribosomal RNA (256 nucleotides) under Staphylococcus pseudintermedius. Its description in RNAcentral is "partial 23S ribosomal RNA". It matches the Rfam family "Bacterial large subunit ribosomal RNA", at positions 1084 to 1345 of the family's 2925-position model. The record is from RNAcentral. Lineage: Bacteria; Bacillati; Bacillota; Bacilli; Caryophanales; Staphylococcaceae.